UUUAUGGUUAGGGUUAGGGAAUUCAGACUGUCUUCCAAGAAGAGAAAUCUGGUGUUAUUGAUUGCUGUAGCAGCUGGGGACCCCAGUCGAAAUAUGGUGUGACUUUGUAAGUCUAAAGUUGUUGCCUGAGAAAAAAAUUUCUGGGGUGCAUACCUCUACCCAAGAGGUUCUACAGGAGGUUUGAGACUAGCCCUGGUUCCACAUACCUGUAGGGUGCUGGUUAGCUGAAGAAGUCUGUAGUGUGCAUGUGUAAGAGAUAUAGGGACCUGGAACAGGGCAGCUGUAGGGAGAGGCCUUGUUCCAGGAACAGGCUAUUUGGGACACCUGCUGUCUGCCUAAAUCUAAGACUUGUCCCACUCAAAUAGUACAUAUUCCGCCUGAAGGAAGAGCCAGAGGAAACUGCAAUUCCUUGCCAUUUUGGGGCUCCUUAGACUUGCUGGGUAAUCCUCCAAUAAAACAGCUGGGAGUACUGAUUGCUGUGCAAAUCAGCAUCCCCAUUGCGCAAUCAGUCCAAAUGUGGAAAUCUGCCACCAUGGAACGAUUUUCAGGGGUGUGCCCCCUCCUUUCAGAAAGUCAUGCACUUUGUUGUUGAUAGUCCAAACUACACUGGCUUGUAGGGCCCUGGACACACAAGACUGGUUGAUCACUGCAUACUGCACACACAUGUCCUACACGGUUUGAUUUAGCCAGGGUUAGGGUUAAUCUGUACAACAAAAACUUCAGGAGAACCCUGGUCUCAGGAGCAGGCUGUUGGGAGUAUGUGGAGUCUACGUAUUUCCAAGCCUGAACCAACACAAAUGUACCUAUUCCCUUUGAAGGCUGAGCUGGAGGACAGUGUACCUCCUUGCCAGGGUGCAGCUGGAUUGACUGGCCUUACCUUCCUAAGAGACAUCUGGGAGCCUUGGGUGCUGAGAAGCCGGGAAUUUAAGCAGGCAGCCAGUCCAAAUUGGGACUGAUUUUCAUGAGCUUAAAGCUGCUGCCACAGAAAUAUUUGCAGGGUUUUGAUCCCAAUGGUCAGGUGAGUAGGCAGAUGGUUUUGGACCUGCUGGCACUUCCACAGGCCUGGAGGGCCCCAGCUGCCCAAGGCAGGCUGAUGAAGUGCAUACUGCAUAUAUACAAACUAUAGAGGUCCAGGUAGCAACCUGGAACAGGGGAAGUAUCUUGAAAAGCUGGGUCUCGGAAGUGGGCUGUUGGGGGUACAAGACACCUGCCUAUUCUAAGUCCUGCCCUACAAAAAAAUGUAUAUUCUCUCUAAAGAUACAGCUGGUGGAGGUUGGACUGCCUUGUCAGGACUCAGCCUGUUGGGCUACAGGGGUAUCCCUCACUAAGACACCUGGGAGCUUUAAUUACUGGUUAAGACCUGGACCAGGACUUAGCUUGGACCUCAGAAAGAUUUUUGGGUGGUGAUCUCCCCCUGGCCGGAGGCUAUGCAGAUAGUUUGGAACCAACCAAAGCUCCACAGGCUUGGAGGACACCCACUGCACCACCACUCCCCUGGUUCAAGGCAAAUGUCUGGAGAGGCUGGUUCACAGGAAUGGGUUACCGGGGUACAUGACAUCUGGCUAUUUCCAGCACUAAUGUACAUAAAUAUGUAUAAACCCAUUGAAGAUGGAGCUGGAGGAAACUGAACCCUUGCAAGGACUAAUUCCAGCAUGCUGAUCAUGGUACCUUCAAUAAGACACCUGGGAGCCUUCAUUGCUGCAGAAGCUCAGGACUUCAGCAAAGAGUAACCUGGAUGGGGAGAACCAUGCUGCAGAGCGAACAGUGGAGGAUGUUUUCCUCCGAAAGUUCAUGCUGGGCCCCUUCCCAGGGUGUCUGGUCGACCAGCUGAUCCUAAAGCGCUGGGCUAACCAGUUGGAGAUCUGUGUCCUGGUCUUGAGGCAGCUGCCCGCACACAAGUUCUACUUCCUGGUGGGCUACAGUGAGACUCUGCUGUCCCACUUUUACAAAUGUCCCGUCCGUCUGCACCUCCAGACUGUGCCCUCCAAGGUCGUGUAUCAGUACAUCUAAGGCAGUCCCCUUUUCUGCAUCAGGCUGUAGCCUACGAAGGACAGAACCGUGUGGGAAAGGAGUGAAGUAGAAAUGGGGAACUACGUCCCCUCACUGUCUCGAGGAUUCCUUUUCAAAGCUGCUGUUGAAUAAAUAGACCUUCUGUGUUGUC
Molecule: non-coding RNA, 2161 nt
Organism: Callorhinus ursinus (northern fur seal)
Lineage: Eukaryota; Metazoa; Chordata; Mammalia; Carnivora; Otariidae
Source: RefSeq, a predicted model, not a curated record